This 72-nucleotide transfer RNA is filed under the name Camelus bactrianus (Bactrian camel). It matches the Rfam family "tRNA". Rfam says of the family: Transfer RNA (tRNA) molecules are approximately 80 nucleotides in length. Their secondary structure includes four short double-helical elements and three loops (D, anti-codon, and T loops). Lineage: Eukaryota; Metazoa; Chordata; Mammalia; Artiodactyla; Camelidae. RNAcentral also lists the same sequence under 2 other names. The record is from Rfam by way of RNAcentral.
GGGAAUAUAGCUAAGUGGUAGAAUGCAUGCAUAGCAUGCAUGAGGUCCUGGGUUCAAUCCCCAGGACCUCCA